CAGCCACACCUUCCUUUUAAGAU
This 23-nucleotide microRNA is filed under the name Lepisosteus oculatus (spotted gar). RNAcentral describes it as "Loc-Mir-724-v1_3p* (star (passenger))". Lineage: Eukaryota; Metazoa; Chordata; Actinopteri; Semionotiformes; Lepisosteidae. RNAcentral also lists the same sequence under 4 other names. The record is from RNAcentral.